GAACGCCGUGUGCAUCGAAAGGUGCAUGCACGGUGUGGAGCGGGGGAAAAGGCGGAGAUCAUAUCAAAGCCUUACCUAUCGCUAU
RNAcentral lists this non-coding RNA (85 nucleotides) under Cohnella phaseoli. The record is from RNAcentral. Lineage: Bacteria; Bacillati; Bacillota; Bacilli; Caryophanales; Paenibacillaceae.